Molecule: ribosomal RNA, 492 nt
Filed under: uncultured bacterium
Lineage: Bacteria
Description: partial 16S ribosomal RNA
Rfam family: Bacterial small subunit ribosomal RNA
Source: RNAcentral
GGUGAACGCUGGCGGUAGGCCUAACACAUGCAAGUCGAACGGCAGCACAGUAAGAGCUUGCUCUUACGGGUGGCGAGUGGCGGACGGGUGAGGAAUACAUCGGAAUCUACUUUUUCGUGGGGGAUAACGUAGGGAAACUUACGCUAAUACCGCAUACGACCUACGGGUGAAAGCAGGGGAUCUUCGGACCUUGCGCGAUUGAAUGAGCCGAUGUCGGAUUAGCUAGUUGGCGGGGUAAAGGCCCACCAAGGCGACGAUCCGUAGCUGGUCUGAGAGGAUGAUCAGCCACACUGGAACUGAGACACGGUCCAGACUCCUACGGGAGGCAGCAGUGGGGAAUAUUGGACAAUGGGCGCAAGCCUGAUCCAGCCAUACCGCGUGGGUGAAGAAGGCCUUCGGGUUGUAAAGCCCUUUUGUUGGGAAAGAAAAGCAGCAGGUUAAUACCCCGCUGUUCUGACGGUACCCAAGGAAUAAGCACCGGCUAACUUCGUG